Callithrix jacchus (white-tufted-ear marmoset) is the source of this 5136-nucleotide non-coding RNA. NCBI's taxonomy places the organism in Eukaryota, Metazoa, Chordata, Mammalia, Primates, Cebidae. The record is from RefSeq and is a predicted model, not a curated record.
CCCUUCGGUUGAAAUCUCACAUCACUUUUAAAACAAAAACCAUGGUCUAAUUCUUUGCUUUCUUAUGAAUUUAAUCAGAAUGGAUCAGAUGAUAUGUGCCAGACCUGAGCAUUUCACUGUACAUAAAUUGUAUCUCAGUUAACAAGUAGACAAAUGUCCAAAAAACGAAAACUUGGUCUGAUCCAGUGGUUUUGCGGUCAGGUGGAGGCUGAGCUGUGCAGAGUCAGAGUUACCUUUGAUUUGGUUUUAGCCAUGACACGUCCUCCUUUUGGAAUACCAAAUAAUAUUAGAGAAGGGAAGGAGAUUUCAUAUUUGUAAGAAGGAUGAAAGUGUUAGGAUAUAGGUUAAAAUCAACCGGGAUGCACAUAGGGCAGACUCCAGGGUGUGAAGGAAGGUUUUUUACUGGCACUAAUAAGGGUGCCACUAAUAUUGCCCUUUGUUCCCUCUCGUCCUUGAGGGAAUCAUCCUGAAAGGCUGCUUUUGUUUUGAACAGCUAGUCUUAACUAUAUACCUUCCGUAAUUUGAUUUUUGAACCAUGUGUGGAUGUAAUAACUCUUUAGAAAAUCAAGUGUGUUUAAAGAAAACCCCAGCCUUCUCUGAUGUUAAACAGCUGCUGAACGGGUCCCGUGGGAGGGGAGAGUAGUGAUAGCCAAGAAGGACUGGGGGUGCUCCGUGCCCUGGUGCAGUGUGCAUCUCCCCAACAGCAGCACCGCUGGGUCAGCAUCGCUGCUCACGGACACAGAUUGGAGACAGCGCCCUGGUGCAUCUGCUCAUAGCACCUGUGGGCCAUGAAUAGAGCUGGGAAAGUGAGUGUCCUGCUUCUGGGCGGCUUGAUGAUGGGAAAGUUGAUCAGCCUCAUUCACUUGCAUAAUUCCACAGCACAGAGCAAGUGCUCUGUGCUUCUCUGUUCUCUGCCUUCCUCAUGCUUCGGUGAAUCCUGCAGUCAUUCAGAGUCAGAUAUUGCACGUCACAGGUUGGCCUGCUCUUGCUCUCCUGUUUCGCAGUGCCUGGCCCAUAGGAGGUGCUCGGUAAAUGUUGAUGAAAGGAAGGAAGGAUUGUCAUGCCUCAGCCAUCGGGUUAUUCACCAGCUCCCAAAGUCACUCUGUAACCUGGUGGCUUUACACGUGCUGUUCCUUGUGCUGGAAUGCCUCGACCCGCCUUCCUCAUCCUUCCAGUGCCCCUCCCUGGAAGGCCCACCUUCUCGUAGCAGGGUGGCGCUGCCUGGUGUGUCUUCAGGAGUCUUCAGGCUCCACAGCACAGCACUGGCCACUUGUUCCACAUAAGUACCUCCACGUUCACAAGUGGUGUGCCAGGCAGCCCUACAGGGAUCCACGUUCACAAGUGGUGUGCCAGGCAGCCCUACAGGGAUCCAUGUUCACAAGUGUGUGCCAGGCAGCCCUACAGGGAUCCACGUUCACAAGUGGUGUGCCAGGCAGCCCUACAGGGAUCCACGUUCACAAGUGGUGUGCCAGGCAGCCCUACAGGGAUCCAUGUUCACAAGUGGUGUGCCAGGCAGCCCUACAGGGUUCCAUGUUCACAAGAGUGUGUCAGGCAGCCCUACAGGGAUCCAUGUUCAAAAGUGGUGUGCCAGGCAGCCCUACAGGGAUCCAUGUUCACAAGUAGUGUGUCAGGCAGCCCUACAGGGAUCCAUGUUCACAAGAGUGUGUCAGGCAACCCUACAGGGAUCCAUGUUCACAAGUGGUGUGUCAGGCAGCCCUACAGGGAUCCAUGUUCACAAGUGGUGUGCCAGGCAGCCCUACAGGGAUCCAUGUUCACAAGUAGUGUGUCAGGCAGCCCUACAGGGAUCCAUGUUCACAAGAGUGUGUCAGGCAGCCCUACAGGGAUCCAUGUUCACAAGUGGUGUGCCAGGCAGCCCUACAGGGAUCCAUGUUCACAAGUAGUGUGUCAGGCAGCCCUACAGGGAUCCAUGUUCACAAGUAGUGUGUCAGGCAGACCUUUGAGGAUCCCCAGCUUUCAGAAGGCUGGUGCAUACACAUUUAGUCAUUCUUGGUAAAUAAAAUAGCUUUCAGACCUUUUCACUGUCUUCAUUCACCAGCCCCAGAAAGUAGCUUUAGUUUUAAGAUCUCUUUUCAUCUUUCAUGAAGAAAUGAAGUUUCUUUCUCUUCCUGAGGCUUGCCGUUCCUUCAGGAGGGCAGAAGCUGUCUUUUCGUCAGGAUGUGGGGCUGCUGGGCAGUUUGUUCCCUGCCACCAGCCCUGUGGAACGGUCCAUUCAGCAGCCCCUGCUUUAGCCACUCCCAAGCGAGAAUGCAGGACCCUCCCCAAGCUGAGCUGUACCGCCUGUCUCUGGGCCCCUGUGUGUGUGGACACGUCCAUCUCAUACCCUGCACUUUUGCCUCUGCAUUCCUGGUACCCAGCAGCGCCAGCCACAAAGAUUUUGAGUCAGUGACAAAGGUUGGGAGGAGCAGAGUUUAUGCAAGGUGUCCACGCAAGGCUUCCUCACUUCUGACACCAGCGGCACACUGAGGAGGUGUCCAAGCCAACUUUAUUUUUAUUUAUUUAUUAUUUAUUUUGAGACAGAGUCUCACUCUGUUGCCCAUGCUGGAGUGCAAUGGUGCAGUGUUGGCUCACUGAAACUUCCACCUCCUGGGUUCAAGCGAUUCUCCUGCUUCAGCCUCCCGAGUAGCUGGGAUUACAGGCGCCUGCCACCACAGCCAGCUAAUUUUUUGUAUUUCACCAUGUUGGCCAGGCUGGUCUUGAACUCCUGACAUCAGGUGAUCCACCCAUCUCAACCUCUCAAAGUGCUGGGAUUACAGAUGUGAGCCACAGCACCCGGUCCCAAGCCAACUUUAUAUUCUCCCUAUCACCAUAACCCACAGAGCUCCCUGAAAGCAGUUAUGCUCACAGUUAUGAUCUACUGCAGCAAAAGGAUAUAGGUUAAAAUCAGCCAAGAUGCACACAGGGCGCAGUCCAGGAGGGAAUCGAAUGCAGAGGUCCUGUCGGACUCUCCUGUGGAAUCAGAUGUGUUGUGUUCCCAGCACCCACAUGUGGCAGUGUACAUAGAGUAUUGCCUGCCCGGGUGCUCCCCUGAGCCUUGGUGUCCAGAGUUUUUCCUGGGGCUCCAUGACAUGGGCAGAACUGGUUGGCUGAUUGCUCAGGUACUGCAUGGCCAGCCCCUGCUCCAUAUCCUGUCGUUAGCUGAGGACCAAGGCCAGCCCUCUUUUUGGGAAAGGUUAAAUUCUUGCCUUCCUUCCUGUCACUGUCACUUCUGGUGCCACUACUCCUGGAGGAGCCCUGGCAUAGUGAGGGGAUCUCAGGCCUCCACAUUAUUGAAAAAUGAAGAGCUCGAGGAGAUCAAGAAGGAGACCGGCCUUUCCCACCGUCAAAUCACCCCCUCUACAGCUGGUUCACCAGCCUGGACAAAGGAGAGAACGGAAUGAUUUUCAGAGGAUUCCAGAACUUGCUGUCAACCCAGUGGGGGACUGGGUCAUCAGUGCCUUCUUUCCAGAGGGAGAGGACCAGAUAAACUCUGUGGAUUCCUGCGAACUUUGGCUUAUAUCCGAACCAUUGAGGAUAAUGAAGAGAGCAAAGAUGUGAAUGGACCUGAACCACUCAGCAACAAAUAGCACUUUGCUUCUGGACUAUAUGAGUUGGAUAAAGAUGACAAGACCUCCUGUGAUGAGCUGUUAGCAGGCGCCAUGCGUGAUGGUCCAAGUUAAUGUCUCAGAUGAGCAGCUGAGCGGCGGCGCAGACAGGACCAUUCGGGAGGCUGAUCCGCGUGGGGACAGUGACAUAUCUUUAUCACAGACUUUGCUAAGGUUUUGGAGAAGGUCGAUGCAGAGCAGAAAAUGAGCAUUCCAUUUCUUCGCUAAAGGACGGACAGCAAACUGUUCCUUGUGGUCUAGUAUUUAAGAACUGGAACUUGACAGUCCUCGUGUCCACCAGCCCCACCUCCGCUCCUUCAGUCCCUUUCUCCCAAAGUGCUACUGCUGUUGCAUGACAACCCCAAGUAUGUUCUGUCAACACAAACCUGCCUUUGGUCUAUAAACAGGGCAUUACAGAACGGUACACCCAGUCUGUUUCUGCUCUGUAUCCAUUCACCAGUUCUUCAUUUACAAAUACCAUCUUUCUGUGUUCUGCUGCCGAAUGCCACACAUCCAUCAAGUCUGAGAAAGUACGAUGGAGAAUCAUGCUGAGAAACAGGCCAGCAAAGCUCUUCCGCUGGAUGUAGACUGCGCCCAUGCUGCCUUCCCUCUGGCGAGUUCGCCAGCAUGCAUCCUUUUUAUAUGUCCGUUGCUUCCUAUUUCUGUGUCAUUCAGCAUACUGUUCACCGAGUCAUGCAGUCUUUCUGCUUUUCGUUAAGCCUCAAAAUCUCCUCUAUUCUACUUGGCACCCCAAGCUAUGCCUGGUAUAUGUAUUUCUGACUUGGCAGGAUAGUUCAGUGGUGUGGUAGUUUUUAUCUACCUUCAUUAGACUUCAUGAAUCAGGCUAUUGCCGUCCUAAUGUAUGUCUCUGUGAGUCUGUUCAUUCACAUAUCUGCCCUUGGCUUUCGUGACUCAUUGCUUGCUUGCUUGUUUCCUUGAUUUGGAAACUAUUGAAGGUGUGUACAUAAUUCUUUAGGAAGGGGAUUGCUAAAAAAUACCACUGCAAAGCAAUGGAAAAAGGUGGAGAACAGGGAAGUAGCCAGGCUGGAUGGCUCAAAUAGAAAUGAACGAGGAAUUCUUUAUGAAGUAUCAGUUGGACUUUGUGAUUGAGUGAUGUAGUAUAGGAAUUGUAUAAAAGGGAAGACAUCUUACACUGAUCUGUUAGAAAGGUACUUCAGAGGCUCGUUGAUUUUCAUAUUUAAAGUUCCUAAGAUUAUAGCUUUUCCCCUCUUUUGGCUGUAUAGCAGACUGAUUUAAUCCACAGUUGUGCCUUAUUGUUCCAUUAAAAUUGUAUCUUCAGUCCAUCAGUAAAUACUUGUGGUUAUAACAAAACAAAACAAAAAUUCUUUACUGCGUGCUGAGGGCAGGGCUCUGUCAAGGUGUACCGAGUGGCUUUGUAAGCUGUGAACACAGUGCACGUGGGACAUGGGAUGAAGUCUCUUCUGUGUGAUUUUAAGUCUUUGCAAACUUUUAGAUCAUAAGGAGCUAAGCUCAGUCUGCUCUUGAAAACUGAUAGUGACACGCCGUGUUGCCC